RNAcentral lists this unclassified non-coding RNA (176 nucleotides) under uncultured fungus. RNAcentral describes it as "sequence contains ITS1". The record is from RNAcentral. Lineage: Eukaryota; Fungi.
UUAUUAAAUUAACUUUUUACUCCGACGUAAGAAUGCAGUGUUUGAUGACCUCCGGGGGGAAUGCCGCUCGCACGGCAGGGUCGCCCCCGAAGCAACAUGAUGGGUUCACAAAGGGUUGGAGGUCGGGAUUGCUCCCUCACUCAGUAAUGAUCCCUCCGCAGGUUCACCUACGGAGA